GUCCGUGAUCCGGAUCAGGGACAGUGUCUGAUGGGUAGUUUAACUGGGGCGGUUGCCUCCUAAAGUGUAACGGAGGCGCCCAAAGGUUCCCUCAGCCUGGUUGGUAAUCAGGUGUUGAGUGUAAGUGCACAAGGGAGCUUGACUGUGAGACCGACGGGUCGAGCAGGGACGAAAGUCGGGACUAGUGAUCCGGCGGUGGCUUGUGGAAGCGCCGUCGCUCAACGGAUAAAAGGUACCCCGGGGAUAACAGGCUGAUCUUCCCCAAGAGUCCAUAUCGACGGGAUGGUUUGGCACCUCGAUGUCGGCUCGUCGCAUCCUGGGGCUGGAGUCGGUCCCAAGGGUUGGGCUGUUCGCCCAUUAAAGCGGUACGCGAGCUGGGUUUAGAACGUCGUGAGACAGUUCGGUCCCUAUCCGCUGUGCGCGUAGGAAUAUUGAGAAGGGCUGUCCCUAGUACGAGAGGACCGGGACGGACGAACCUCUGGUGUGCCAGUUGUUCUGCCAAGGGCAUGGCUGGUUGGCUACGUUCGGGAGGGAUAACCGCUGAAAGCAUCUAAGCGGGAAGCCUGCUUCGAGAUGAGUAUUCCCACCUCCUUGAGAGGGUAAGGCUCCCAGUAGACGACUGGGUUGAUAGGCCGGAUAUGGAAGCCCUGUAAGGGGUGGAGUUGACCGGUACUAAUAGGCCGAGGGCUUGUCCUCAGUUG
RNAcentral lists this ribosomal RNA (701 nucleotides) under Streptomyces sp. SID8014. Its description in RNAcentral is "partial 23S ribosomal RNA". It matches the Rfam family "Bacterial large subunit ribosomal RNA", at positions 2231 to 2925 of the family's 2925-position model. The record is from RNAcentral. Lineage: Bacteria; Bacillati; Actinomycetota; Actinomycetes; Kitasatosporales; Streptomycetaceae.